Molecule: long non-coding RNA, 289 nt
Organism: Lagenorhynchus albirostris (white-beaked dolphin)
Lineage: Eukaryota; Metazoa; Chordata; Mammalia; Artiodactyla; Delphinidae
Exons: 4
Source: RefSeq, a predicted model, not a curated record
UGCAGUUUGUGGGGAUGGUUAUGUGGACACAAAAGCAAAAUUAUGGUGAAGAAAGCAUGUUGUACGGUUUAUAUGUCUUUCAAACGUUUUUCCCCUCAAUGCGUCGAAACACUACGCAUCUGCUGGUAGGCAUAUCUCAGAGAUAUUGCGGGUUCAGUUCCAGACCACUGCAGUAAAGCUUCUUCAUUGCUGUUGUUGAGGGAUGAAGUUUCAAGGUUCUCUACUCUGCUGUUUUCACUGAUUUCUGUCCAAAGGAGAGAGUGGGUGAGCAGGCCAACAAGAAAGUGCA